Molecule: long non-coding RNA, 1137 nt
Organism: Drosophila yakuba
Lineage: Eukaryota; Metazoa; Arthropoda; Insecta; Diptera; Drosophilidae
Exons: 2
Source: RefSeq, a predicted model, not a curated record
AGAAAAAUGUACCUGUCUAUGGAAGAAACUUGUUUAACUGGCUUAACGAGAAGGGCAUUUGGCAUAGCAAAUGCUAAAUUGAAAUUGUCGAGCAUUUACGACGAAUAAUAAGAGAGUAGUGAGUGCAUAAUUAAAUGAAUACAAUAAUAUGAAUAUUUAAAUACCGUAGAAGUUUUAUAUAGUCUCUUAAAGCCAGUUUAGAAAAUCUUUAUUUUUGCCAUUAAUUUGAAUGCUAUUUUACUUUUUCUUAACGACCCUUGCCGCGUUCUUUAAAUAUCCGUAACUUGUGAUAACCAAUUGGACGGCAUUCGUUCCGUGUUCUCUCAUUCAACAGAGAUUCAUUCACCUUUUAACUCCGGAUUCUGCACUAGUUUAGGCCACAAUUGAAAGGCGUGAAAUACUAAUAUGAAGAACACGCCUGGCAGUCAAAGGGAAAGGAAAGGAAAGAAAAGGUCGAGUUCCAACACCGAUUUUCCGUAUCUGCCCCGUCCAAGUCCAAGUUUGCAGGCCACCCGAUCCGAUCAUUAGCCACGUUUACUAAUGAUUUUCAACCAACCUAGACCUCAGCCUAAGAGACCCUGGGAACCUGGGAAUGAGAACUGUUCCAAGUUUUCGCAUGCAUGUGAUAAUGGUUUUUGGCGGCGCUUUGAUUUUCCGCCCCGUUUCGAAUGGGACAGCGAACAAGACAAUAAAUCAAUAAUUAUUGCAAAAUAAUACUGCAGUUGCCCCCCUCAAAAAACCAAAAAGAAACAAGAUAAAUUGCGAUACUGUGCAGCGGACGGGCAGGCGUAUGACUUAAUUUGCCAAUUUGAACGCCAAAGGCUAAAGCGUACUUACUUCUUGGCCGAAAAAGGCCAGGCAGCUGGCCAACAUGGUCCCCAGAUCGUUCUAAGCUUCAAUUUCCGUGCCAGUGGCAGCAACAGCAACAGCAGCAGUCAAACUCCGUUGUCUUAUUAAGGCCCAAAAGCAAACGCGUGCGCGGUGCCCAGCAAAAAGCGACAAGCCAGGCCAAAAGCGAACAGCAGCCGGCUGGCAGAAAAAAAAAAAUAAGAAUUCUAUUAUGCCCAUGCCACACAAUGUGAUUAACUUGUUGACCCUGUCGAAAGAGCAAACAAUAAAAGUGGGUAUUCUUAAAAA